Molecule: ribosomal RNA, 459 nt
Filed under: uncultured bacterium
Lineage: Bacteria
Description: partial 16S ribosomal RNA
Rfam family: Bacterial small subunit ribosomal RNA
Source: RNAcentral
CCUACGGGAGGCAGCAGUGAGGAAUAUUGGUCAAUGGGCGCGAGCCUGAACCAGCCAAGUCGCGUGAGGGAAGACGGUCCUAUGGAUUGUAAACCUCUUUUGUCGGGGAGCAAAAGACGCCACGCGUGGCGUUCCGAGAGUACCCGACGAACAAGCAUCGGCAAACUCCGUGCCAGCAGCCGCGGUAAUACGGAGGAUGAGUGCGUUAUCCGGAUUUAUUGGGUUUAAAGGGUGCGCAGGCGGAAGCUCAAGUGAGCGGUAAAAUUGAGGGGCUCAACCUCUUCGAGCCGUUGAAACUGGUUUGCUUGAGUGAGUGAGAGGUAUGCGGAAUGCGUGGUGUAGCGGUGAAAUGCAUAGAUAUCACGCAGAACUCCGAUUGCGAAGGCAGCAUACCGGCGCUCAACUGACGCUGAUGCACGAAGGUGUGGGUAUCGAACAGGAUUAGAUACCCUUGUAGUC